AGAAGGCCAAGAUGGAGGACGAGGAACCUGAACCAGCAUGGUUUUAGACACCCACAGUAUUUCCACAGGAGAACCUUUUUUGCCUAGUGUUCAAAUACAAGGUUGAAGAUUAUGAUGAUAAAAUCCAACCAAGUUGUCAACAAUACUAAUCCAGAAAGAGAGAAAAUGUCUAAAGGAGAGUAGGCAGGGGAGCUGCAGUAGUUGGAAACAGGUCCAUAUGGUGAAAGCUGGACCGCUGGACACUGGCUUGCAUCUGAAAGGAGACCCCGCCAAUCUAGGGCAGAAGGCAAAGAAAAAAGUCAACAAUGGCCCAGCUGCAGAGAGAACCGGAAGCUUGUCUUCCAAGGACUGCAGCUGUGAGGGAUGGCCACGCCCCUUCCUGAAGAGUCUUCUGAAGUCACAGGAAUGAUGGGGAACAUGUCUCUUUGAAACUUUAUCUCUAAAGGACGAAACCCCUUACUCUUGCUUGGACGACUUGGGAUUUACCUAAGAUGCUUGGACAUUCGGUAAAUCCUCACUAUUCACCGGCAAUGAGGAACUGUCCACUUGGUACUGGAACCAGUAAGUGUCCGGCAGUAACUGCACUUGACUUUCAAAAGUACAACAUAGUUUAAGUCCAAUACAGACCUAAUUCUUGAACUCCA
Long non-coding RNA from Mastomys coucha (southern multimammate mouse), 644 nucleotides. RefSeq lists it as uncharacterized. Lineage: Eukaryota; Metazoa; Chordata; Mammalia; Rodentia; Muridae. The transcript is spliced from 3 exons. The record is from RefSeq and is a predicted model, not a curated record.